GGAUUAGAUACCCUGGUAGUCCACGCCGUAAACGAUGUCUACUAGCCGUUGGGGAACUUGAGUCCUUAGUGGCGCAGCUAACGCACUAAGUAGACCGCCUGGGGAGUACGGCCGCAAGGUUAAAACUCAAAUGAAUUGACGGGGGCCCGCACAAGCGGUGGAGCAUGUGGUUUAAUUCGAUGCAACGCGAAGAACCUUACCAGGACUUGACAUCCAGAGAACUUGGCAGAGAUGCCUUGGUGCCUUCGGGAACUCUGAGACAGGUGCUGCAUGGCUGUCGUCAGCUCGUGCCG
Molecule: ribosomal RNA, 293 nt
Filed under: uncultured bacterium
Lineage: Bacteria
Description: partial 16S ribosomal RNA
Rfam family: Bacterial small subunit ribosomal RNA
Source: RNAcentral